AGUGGGUGGUUUUUAUUAUUCAAACCAUCAUCCCGUCCACCACACCUCUGCCUUUUCACAUCAUCUGUCCACCUUGGGUGAUUUUCAUUAUUAAAACCAUCAAAGUCCAUGAUUUUCAAUAUUCAAACUUUCAGCUCCUUGGAUUUGAGAUCCUUGAAAUGUUUAUCUCUCUCUCUCUCUCUCUCUUCGCACUCUCUCUUCUCUCAUCUUCACAAAUGACUGCAGAAAUUCGCCAGCAACAUUUUUUCUUUACCCGUGACACUACAAGAUAUGAGAAGAAGAGAAAAGGGCAGAAGAUGGAAAGAUUACUUGUUCUUCCGGAUUCGUGUAUAUCGGCUUCGGAUCUACCCGUUGAUGGUGGUUUGGGGUUGUGAAGAUGUUUGAGAUGCUUUUGGAGUUUUGCUGGUUUGACUAGCUUGUGCUUGUGUUCUUUGAUUCAGAUUUUAAAGAUGCAUCUACUGACCUCUUACACUAAUGAAGGUUCGAAGCCUUGAUGUUUCUGAGAUCAAUUCGAUCGACAUCGUUUCAACAUCUGCAGAUCUGAUUUCUCCUUGCGGUUGAAGGGCGCAAACUCAUGUAUAUUGGUUAAUCGAAAGCUAUAACUGUAAUAUGAUGAUUGGGGAAGGUGAAAGAUGGGGUAUUUUUGGGUGGAUUUGGGUUUGCACGGAUGUAAGAGAUGUCGAGACUUUUCAACAUUUUUCAAGUAUUUUUGGGUUUUAUCUCGAUAUUAUCGAUAAUAUUGUGAUAUAUUGCUCAAAUAAUGCAUUAAAAUGCUGAAAAUAUUGUUUUCGAUAUUAUUGCGAAAAUAUUGACAAAAAUAUUGAUAUAUUGACGAUAA
This is a non-coding RNA of Malus domestica (apple), 838 nucleotides long. NCBI's taxonomy places the organism in Eukaryota, Viridiplantae, Streptophyta, Magnoliopsida, Rosales, Rosaceae. The record is from RefSeq and is a predicted model, not a curated record.